Molecule: long non-coding RNA, 1279 nt
Organism: Equus quagga
Lineage: Eukaryota; Metazoa; Chordata; Mammalia; Perissodactyla; Equidae
Exons: 3
Source: RefSeq, a predicted model, not a curated record
UUUCCAAAAGCCUGCACCUCCGUCCUUCUGAGCCUGCCCCAGGCUGCGGAGCCCCCACGCCUGCACCAGCAGAGGGAGAGCCCUAAAUUCCUAGGAGCUUGUGACCCUGUGGACAGUCGUUGGUCGGUGGCUGAUAAGAGCCAAGCUGGGAGAGUCCAGCUCGGGGCCUUCAGGUAGGAUGAUUGCAAGAUGUAAGGACGCUCUGGAGUCUGCAGGCUCCAACCACAGCAUGCUCGCGGGGAUUUCAUGUGACAUUGCGUCCUGAGCUGGCUUUUCCCCUCCUCUGUUCUGCUUCCCCUACUCCACUCUUGGUUUCUCCUGGGAGCAUUUUGACAAAUCGCUUGACCCAAAUCUUCAUGUCGGGAUCUGCUUCUGAGGAGCCCAAGCGGGAGGAUGGAGCUGACCUCUGUGAGGAGCACGGUGGUGUCCGAUGAAAGGGAGAGAAGGCAGGCUGUCUGGUCAGAUUGGUAAAUUUGGGAGUGGGAAGAUAAGGAUGCCUUCUGGGUGUUUCUAUUAUCUCAGUCGUGUCCAGCUGGCAGGGGAGGGAUGCUGGAUUGCUGGGGAGAAAGGAGAAGGUGUGAAGAAGUCAUCUGGGAAAGCCAGAGAAUGAAUGUUUUGGAGAGACUGCUAGGCAGUAUUGCUGGAUUUUCUCCAGCCACGUCAGCUGCUUAGACUUAGAGAAGCUGGGGGUUGGUCUUAACCAAGGUUACUUACCUGAUUUCCAGGUAAGUAAGCUGGAGGGGAAGAGUUUAAAAGGUGUUAGGGUAUAAGAAGGAGGCUCUGAUGGUAAGGCAUGGAACCUUUGCUGGGGACAGAAGGAAGGGAGGAUGACGGAGGGGCAGCCUAGCAAAGAGGGUCAAGACUAUAGACUGUGGAUCCUGAUAAAGGGCAAGAACUGUCGGCACAGCGGGUGUAGGCCGUGGUGAUGGGACGUGGUGGGCAGACAGCGGCGCGCCUGGAACUCAGUUUGUGGAGCCGCCACCGCAGCAUGGCCACUGACAGACGAGUGGUGUGGUUCUGUGCCUGGGGACUGAACCCAAGCUGCCAAUGUGGAGCCCGCAGAACUUCACCCAGUAGGCCCUUGGGGCUGGCGCUGUAUGAUUCUCUAUUCACCACCAGCAGCAUGGUCUCUUCCCUUUGCCCAUAUCAACUGUCAACUGUGUUCUGCGGGCAUCUCUCCAUCCCCUCAGCCUCCCCUCAGCCUCCUUCCAGCCCCCACAGCGCCCUGUGUUGGAUGUCUACUUGCACAUGCCUUCCCAGAGGGCCAGCCAUCCUGAGA